This 371-nucleotide ribosomal RNA is filed under the name uncultured Fusibacter sp. RNAcentral describes it as "bacterial SSU rRNA". It matches the Rfam family "Bacterial small subunit ribosomal RNA", at positions 1014 to 1382 of the family's 1533-position model. The record is from RNAcentral. Lineage: Bacteria; Bacillati; Bacillota; Clostridia; Eubacteriales; Fusibacteraceae.
GGUCCUUUCGGGACAGGGAGACAGUGGUGCAUGGUUGUCGUCAGCUCGUGUCGUGAGAUGUUGGGUUAAGUCCCGCAACGAGCGCAACCCUUUGUGUUUAGUUGCCAACAGGUUUAAGCUGUGCACUCUAAACAGACUGCCGUGGAUAACACGGAGGAAGGUGGGGAUGACGUCAAAUCAUCAUGCCCCUUAUGAUCUGGGCUACACACGUGCUACAAUGGUCGGUACAACGGGCAGCGAAAGAGUAAUCUGGAGCGAAUCCUAAAAAGCCGAUCCCAGUUCGGAUUGUGGGCUGAAACUCGCCCACAUGAAGUUGGAGUUGCUAGUAAUCGCGAAUCAGAAUGUCGCGGUGAAUGCGUUCCCGGGUCCUU